This 86-nucleotide small RNA is filed under the name Salmonella enterica. RNAcentral's name for it is "partial RtT sRNA". It matches the Rfam family "RtT RNA", at positions 1 to 85 of the family's 130-position model. Rfam says of the family: This family represents a bacterial cis-regulatory element known as RtT RNA. Lineage: Bacteria; Pseudomonadati; Pseudomonadota; Gammaproteobacteria; Enterobacterales; Enterobacteriaceae. RNAcentral also lists the same sequence under 5 other names. The record is from RNAcentral.
AUAUCUCUCCGUACGGGAAGGAUGAGAAGCUUCGACUAAGGUUCGAUUCGAGCGCAGCGAGAACGCGUUGCCGCAGGCAACGACCC